CGGGUAGAGUAAUGCGUGACCAACCUGCCCCAUGCUCCAGAAUAGCUCUUGGAAACGGGUGGUAAUGCUGGAUGCUCCAACUUGACGCAUGUCUUGUUGGGAAAGUGUUUAGUGGCAUGGGAUGGGGUCGCGUCCUAUCAGCUUGUAGGCGGGGUAAUGGCCCACCUAGGCUUCGACGGGUAGCCGGCCUGAGAGGGCGGACGGCCACAUUGGGACUGAGAUACGGCCCAGACUCCUACGGGAGGCAGCAGGC
This 253-nucleotide ribosomal RNA is filed under the name uncultured Gardnerella sp. RNAcentral's name for it is "partial 16S ribosomal RNA". It matches the Rfam family "Bacterial small subunit ribosomal RNA", at positions 100 to 354 of the family's 1533-position model. The record is from RNAcentral. Lineage: Bacteria; Bacillati; Actinomycetota; Actinomycetes; Bifidobacteriales; Bifidobacteriaceae.